AUCUACUUCUCUUUCAUAAUGCAUUCUGUAACGAUUGAAAAUAUGAAAAGUUGUUCAAAUGACAUUCUGAAAGACGUUUAUCCGUUUUUCUUUUAAACCAUUUGAUCAUAGGACACGCCCAGAGUUAUAAUCUCCCCAUGCAUAUUGCAUAAUACAUUAACAGAUAACAGUAUUUACUAUUUUGGAUAGUUCAAUACACCACAGUUAUCCGGAAUAACUUAUUCACAGCUUUCUGUUAAUUUUUCUUAUUAUUCAAUAGAAACUUUUAACAAGGGUUCAACAGUGAUCCCAAGUCCUUUGAAAAUAAAAACUUUCGUUUGAUAGCGUAAAUACCAAAAUAUUUUACUUUUUUAGCUAAUCAUAGGUAGAUAGAUAUAGGAAGAUGUGGUGUGAGUGCCAAUGAGACAACUCUCCAUACAAAUAACAAUUUAAAAAGUAAACCAUUAUAGGUUAAAGUACGGCCUUCAACACGGAGCCUUGGCUCACACCGAACAACAAGCUAUAAAGGGCCCCAAAAUUACUAGUGUAAAACCAUUCAAACGGGAAAACCAAUCAUAGGAUCUAUUUUGUUUAAGAUAUGUUCUACUUCUCUUUCGGGCAUAACUGGUUCUAUCACGCCUGGUAAACCAUCUAAUCUCAACCAAAAGAAAAAGAAGAAACUGUAAUUUUAUGUUUAUAAGGUAUUAGAAAAAUACCAAUUUACUGAUAUAUAUGUUAGCUUAAACGAUGAUCGCACUGUCAUUUUGUCAAUAACUAACUGUACUUGCGACAUUUACCUGCUGGAGAAAAGUCAUUCCGACGUCAUUUUAAAUUAUAUUGGUCCGUGUUAUUCACGAGACAAAUCCUAAUUCAAUUAUCUAUGGCAUGACAUUCUCCUAUUUCAGAAAAAAACUCAGUAAAUUGACGAAAAUU
RNAcentral lists this long non-coding RNA (912 nucleotides) under Mytilus galloprovincialis (Mediterranean mussel). The record is from RNAcentral. Lineage: Eukaryota; Metazoa; Mollusca; Bivalvia; Mytilida; Mytilidae.